CAGGGGGGUAACCGGCAUCUCUUAUAGCAAGCUUAUUAUAACAUUACUAUGUCUUUUCGUACCGUGACACCCUUAACGCAAGCUUGUUGCAGCGUUAAACUGAUUUUGUUUUUCUAGCAAUUUUGAUGACGUCACUCGUAAUAGUUCACUCAAUUAUUGGGACCGUGCGAUCUAUUUGACAAUUUGACAGUUAUCGGUUAAUAAUAGAACUUCGUAACUGCGAAUUACAUCGGCUUGUUCGAAGAAAAGGCUUCAAACCUUUUGAUUUAAGAAGAAUCGUGUAAAUAGUAAACAAGUGCGUAAUCAUCACGAGUCCCUAUGAGAUAUGGGGGCAUCAUAUGAACAAUUUGAAAAUACAAUAUAGGUAACCUACAGAUUUAUCUGUGUAAGAUAAAAGUAAUAUUCUACAAUCAAUUCCGAGCACUAGGAAUAAGAUUACCCAGAGUAACCACAUGGAUGCAUUGAUAGUAUUCAAGAAGCCAUGGUGCCAGCGCAACAUGAAUAUAUUUUUUUCAAUAGGAAGCAAUAUCAUACUUUAAAUGUUUAAGUGCAAUAAAAAACAUUUAUAAAU
Long non-coding RNA from Colias croceus (clouded yellow), 571 nucleotides. RefSeq lists it as uncharacterized. The transcript has 2 exons. The record is from RefSeq and is a predicted model, not a curated record. Lineage: Eukaryota; Metazoa; Arthropoda; Insecta; Lepidoptera; Pieridae.